GAGCCAUUAGCUCAGCUGGUAGAGCAUCUGACUUUUAAUCAGAGGGUCGGAGGUUCGAAUCCUCUAUGGCUCA
Molecule: transfer RNA, 73 nt
Filed under: Staphylococcus aureus
Lineage: Bacteria; Bacillati; Bacillota; Bacilli; Caryophanales; Staphylococcaceae
Description: tRNA-Lys
Rfam family: tRNA
About the family: Transfer RNA (tRNA) molecules are approximately 80 nucleotides in length.
Source: RNAcentral